This 483-nucleotide ribosomal RNA is filed under the name uncultured bacterium. RNAcentral describes it as "partial 16S ribosomal RNA". It matches the Rfam family "Bacterial small subunit ribosomal RNA", at positions 30 to 507 of the family's 1533-position model. The record is from RNAcentral.
UUGAACGCUGGCGGCAGGCCUAACCCAUGCAAGUCGAGCGGAUGAAGGGAGCUUGCUCCUGGAUUCAGCGGCGGACGGGUGAGUAAUGCCUAGGAAUCUGCCUGGUAGUGGGGGAUAACGUCCGGAAACGGGCGCUAAUACCGCAUACGUCCUGAGGGAGAAAGUGGGGGAUCUUCGGACCUCACGCUAUCAGAUGAGCCUAGGUCGGAUUAGCUAGUUGGUGGGGUAAAGGCCUACCAAGGCGACGAUCCGUAACUGGUCUGAGAGGAUGAUCAGUCACACUGGAACUGAGACACGGUCCAGACUCCUACGGGGGGCAGCAGUGGGGAAUAUUGGACAAUGGGCGAAAGCCUGAUCCAGCCAUGCCGCGUGUGUGAAGAAGGUCUUCGGAUUGUAAAGCACUUUAAGUUGGGAGGAAGGGCAGUAAGUUAAUACCCUGCUGUUUUGACGUUACCAACAGAAUAAGCACCGGCUAACUUCGUG